Cinara cedri is the source of this 724-nucleotide non-coding RNA. The record is from the annotation of a GenBank genome assembly. NCBI's taxonomy places the organism in Eukaryota, Metazoa, Arthropoda, Insecta, Hemiptera, Aphididae.
AUAUCUUGCACAUAGUCGCUUGAAGAAGGGGAAAACUGAGUCAUUUUCUCUAAAGGUUCGUCAAAAACUACCUUGAAUAUCAAAAGCGAAUUUACAGAAAUGAAGUGAUUUCGGAUACAGUAAACGAUAUUCGUUUUAAGACUGCAGUUUAACAACAUAAUACUUUACGAAUUCAAUAUCAUCGAAACGAAACUAUAAAUGCCAAUACGCGACAAACGUGUAAUGGACAAUAGCGCGAUAAUUGAAAAAUCGAAUUUAAACUAUUGACUCGAAUUAAAAUCUCAAUACGGGCCAACCGGUUGGCCAUUGGGUGCCAUGGCCCACCAUAGGUGCUAUGGUUUAUCACGUUAUUCGACGGUUCGAUAAGUCUUCGGUUAUACUGUCACGAAUAGUGUACCAUCACGUAAAAUCGACGUUUAAAACUAUCGUGUUUAAAAUGUCAAUGUUAUACUCGGGCUCGAUACAAAACGACGCGCGUGUAAGACGAUCAGUUAUAUUGUGUUAAACGUUCGACGUUUAUUUUUAUUAUUUUUAUACAGUUUCGUGGCGUAAUAUUAUUGUUCUGGUUUUCGUUCGUACAGCGGGGAAUGAUUUUUAAUUUUACGAUUAACCUAUAUUGGUUUUGCUAUGACGAUAUAGCGUCUAUUCAGCUGUCUGUCAACGAGUUUGUCGACCACGAGUCUAAUCGGAAAAUGCGAAAAUGGCCCGCGUGCAAAUUUAUCGA